UCAAGAAACUUCCACAAUGGGCGAAAGCCUGAUGGAGCGACGCCGCGUGAUGGACGAAGUGCUUCGGCACGUAAACAUCUUUUAUGUGGGAUGAAAAUUAUUGACAGUACCACAUGAAUAAGGGGCUCCUAACUCUGUGCCAGCAGGAGCGGUAAUACAGAGGCCCCAAGCGUUAUCCGGAAUCACUGGGCGUAAAGGGUGUCGAGGCGGUUGUAUUAGUCGUUCGUAAAAUCUACGAGCUUAACUUGUAGGCGGCGAACGAAACGGUACGACUUGAGGUUUGGAGAGGUGCGUGGAACUCACGGUGUAGGGGUGAAAUCCGUUGAUAUCGUGGGGAACACCAAAGGCGAAGGCAGCGCACUGGCCAAAAUCUGACGCUCACACACGAAAGCUAGGGUAGCGAAGAGGAUUAGAUACCCACGUAGUCCCUGAGCGGGCUGGCAAGGCGCAU
RNAcentral lists this ribosomal RNA (451 nucleotides) under uncultured bacterium. Its description in RNAcentral is "bacterial SSU rRNA". It matches the Rfam family "Bacterial small subunit ribosomal RNA", at positions 355 to 825 of the family's 1533-position model. The record is from RNAcentral.